This 484-nucleotide ribosomal RNA is filed under the name Glyphidrilus sp. 12 PJ-2018. Its description in RNAcentral is "partial small subunit ribosomal RNA". It matches the Rfam family "Bacterial large subunit ribosomal RNA", at positions 1829 to 2597 of the family's 2925-position model. The record is from RNAcentral. Lineage: Eukaryota; Metazoa; Annelida; Clitellata; Crassiclitellata; Almidae.
UGCCUCUUGGCCCCACAUAAGAGGUAACUCCUGCCCAGUGAAAGAAUUUCAACGGCCGCGGUAUCCUAACCGUGCAAAGGUAGCAUAAUCACUUGUCUAUUAAUUGUAGACUAGAAUGAAAGGAUAAACGAAAUAAGAGCUGUCUCUACUAGAUUCCUAUAAUUUAUAAUCUAGACGAAGAUAUCUAGAUAAGAGUGGAGGACAAGAAGACCCUAUAGAGCUUUAUCUUGAAAGAAAAAACAACUUUUUUUAUAGAUUCGGUUGGGGCGACCAAGGGAAACUAAUCACCCUUAAAUUUAUAGAUCAAUAAAUCUAGCAUAUGACCCUUAUUUAAGAGCAUAAAAACAAGCUACCUUAGGGAUAACAGGCUAAUCCUAUUAAAGAGUCCUUAUCUAUAAUGGGGGUUGGCACCUCGAUGUUGGCUUAGGGUAUCUCUAUGGCGCAAAAGUCAUAAAAAGAUGGUUUGUUCAACCUUCAAUUCCCU